This 2176-nucleotide long non-coding RNA is filed under the name Homo sapiens (human). RNAcentral describes it as "HSALNT0028735". Lineage: Eukaryota; Metazoa; Chordata; Mammalia; Primates; Hominidae. The record is from RNAcentral.
AGGGACGCCCCCACAGGUAGACGAAGAGGGUCCAGAGAAAGGUGGGGAUUCCCUAACCCCUUCUUUCUUGGCACAGACAGGCAGAGAACACCUCUUUUCUCACCCCUGGGCAGCCCCAGGAAGUCAAUCCUUCCACUAUUCCUGCUCCGUGCCUCUCUUCCCUCUGCCCAGAUUCCUGGGAGACUCAAAACCCUGUUCAACUCUCUCUGGGCUAGCUGCUCCCCUCCCCAAGAGGAUUUCUCUCCAGAGCUGGUAUCAUCGCUUAAUGAUGUUCCACCAACAAGGGGAAGAUUCAGCCAUGUCUUCCUAGGAUCCAGCAUCCAAACCUGGACCAAAGUCCUCGGAUCCUCAGCAAUGGGGGUGCAUCUGGUGAUGGUGUUCAUGCUAAAUUUGUGCCAAGAGACACCUGUACUUGUGGGAGAAUUAAUAUUUCACUUCUGUUUAGGUUUCUUUUCUGGGAGCUGCUAUCACUGAAUACAUAAAGAAAUUGAGCCUAUAUGAUUUCAAUCUUCACCUUCUGAUGCUGAUGAAACAGGAUUCUAUGCAGAGAAAAUCCUCUCCAGUCAAGUAAUUGCAUCCAUUUCAUCUUCCCAGCCCUCCUCUAGAUGGGAGGUGGAGGUGUGUGUACCAAUCUCUUAAUUCAGAAAUGAGACAAGAGGAGGAAAAAGGAGUUCCGGAGGUGUGUGAUCCAAGUCUGGCUGCAGGCUAUGGACAUUCCAGGAGGGAGACUCCAUCAGAGAAGUGGAGCUGGAGUUGGGUGUUAGAGGGUAAAGGGAGGGUUUGAACAGGCAAGGGAUGGGGGAGGAGUGCCUUACAGUGGGAGAGGGAGAGGCUGCUUGAAAAAGCAUAGAGCUGUGAGUGAGCAUGCGUGCCCAAGGAGAGGGAGCCAGGCACUGCCAGGGUGCAGGUGGGGCAGACUGGCUAGGUGUGUGGCCAGGGUGUGGAAGGAACAUGCUAAGUGUGACAGUUAAUUUAUGUGUCAUCCUGGCUAGGCUAUGGUGCUCAGUUGUUUGGUGAAACAUCAGCCUAGAUGUUGCUUCAAAGGUAUUUAUUAAAUGUGUAAUUUAAAUCAUAGACUUUGAGUAAAGCUGAUCACCUUACGUAAUGUGAGUGGGUCUCGUCCAAUCAACUGAAGGCUUUAAGAGCAAAGACAAAGGUUUUUCAAAGAGAAAAAGAAGACUCUCCUCAAGACUGUGACAUAGAAACUCUGCCUGAAUUUCUAGCCUGCUGCCCUGCAGAAUUUAGAGUCAAGCCUACAACAUAACUCUUACCUGAAUUCUCAGGCUGCUGACUUACCCUGCAGAUUUUGGACUUGCCAGCCCCUCACAAUCCCAUGAGCCAAUUCCUUAAAAUAAAUCUCUCUUUUUCCCUCUGUAUAUAUUUAUGUCCUAUUGAUUUUGGUUCUCUGGAGAGCCCUGACUACUACACUGAGUGAAGGGAGGGCUUUGCUAAGUGAUCAUGGUCCCAAGGGCAGCCUCUGAGAGCCCGCUCCUUUUGCAGGAUAUUUGAAGACCAGACCUUGAGUCAAAUUCUGCAGCCAAAUUCAAUGCCCAUAAGACUUUCUGCUCAGAAGACGUCAUGCAAAGGGAAUCCCCAGGGCUCUUUAAAUUAGAUCUUCUGUUUGUGCAGACACGUGAUAAAUGUUUUGGGUACAGCCUGGCUCACACCACAUUUUCCACUUUUUGGGUGGAGUCAGUUUUAAUUGACAAGAAGUGCCUUUACAGGUGGACUUUUUUUUUGGUGGUGGAGGGGAGUAGUUAAAACCGAUGCUUUGCAUUCUGUUGGGCAGCAGAAAGAUUGCUUUUUCAAUAAGCAAGCCUUGGGUUUUUCUGAGCCAGUGGUAUGAGAAAUGCCUCUCCUGAAGGCCACCACGCAAGCGAGUCCCCACAGAAGCAUGCCCGAGCUGUCAGGUGCAGGGAGAAAUAUCUUUAGUAAGAGCCGGUCAUGUAAUGAGACUUCCCCACCACAGCAUAGAUGGGCAGAGGGGUUUCCACAAGGACAAUUCUUAAGAAUCUCUGUAAAAACGCAUGACUCCAUCUGUCUCCUCUCUCUUCUUUGGCUUCAGAUGAGCUGAGCCAUUUAAAAAUUCCCCAACAAGGGACCCCAGGCACCAGAAGAAGUGAUGAACAGAUUUUCAAUUUGGCCCUGAUUUGCAUAAAUUUUUUUUUUCUGGCAG